This is a non-coding RNA of Rattus rattus (black rat), 375 nucleotides long. Lineage: Eukaryota; Metazoa; Chordata; Mammalia; Rodentia; Muridae. The record is from the annotation of a RefSeq genome assembly.
AUGGAGACAGAUAAACUCCUGCUAUGGGUGCUGCUGCUCUGGGUUCCAGGCUCCAGUGGUGACAUUGUGCUGACCCAGUCUCCUGCUUUGGCUGUGUCUCUAGGGCAGAAGACCACCAUGUCUUGCAAGACCAGCCAGAAUGUUGAUAAUUUUGGGAAGAGUUAUAUUCACUGGUACCAACAGAAACCAGGAGAGCAACCCAAACUCCUCAUCUAUUUUGCAUCCAACCUAGCAUCUCAGGUUCCUGCCAGGUUCAGUGGCAGUGGGUCUGAGAGAGACUUCACCCUCACCAUCAAUCCUGUGGAGGCUGAUGAUGUUGCAACUUAUUACUGUCAGCAAGGUUGGGAGUUUCCUCUCACAGUGCUCCAGGGCUGA